This 369-nucleotide long non-coding RNA is filed under the name Nicotiana benthamiana. RNAcentral describes it as "long non-coding RNA (NBEN_LNC033919)". Lineage: Eukaryota; Viridiplantae; Streptophyta; Magnoliopsida; Solanales; Solanaceae. The record is from RNAcentral.
GAAAUCACUGUUCACUUAAUCACAGCCCAGAUUCCGCUUCUGCGGUUCUAAUACUGCUUCUGUAGUUCCGGCUUAUGCGUCCCAAUAACUGCUUCUGUGGUUUUAACUUAACUCCCCCAUGACAGCUUAUGCGACAAGGAUCCCUCUUCUGCGGAUUGCUCAUAUCCGCUUCUCCGGCUAAAUGUCUACUCCUGCGGACCUCCUAAUGUGGAUCUUCUGUGGAACUUCUCAACUCCACACCAACUCGCUUCUGCGCUCCCUUACCCAUUUCUACGGAACCGCUUCUGGAGUCCAUUCUGCAGAAGCCGAAAUACCAGAUGACAGCAGCAACAGACUUGAAGCAAACUUCAAAACUCUCGUUUAAACACC